Corapipo altera (White-ruffed manakin) is the source of this 4638-nucleotide long non-coding RNA. RefSeq lists it as uncharacterized. The transcript has 3 exons. Lineage: Eukaryota; Metazoa; Chordata; Aves; Passeriformes; Pipridae. The record is from RefSeq and is a predicted model, not a curated record.
GGGAGCGACAGGGCUCGUGGCGCGGCGGGACUCGGGGAGGAUGCGGGCGGGAGGUGUGCGGGAGCCAGCGGGGGGGGGGGGGGGCGGUGUUGGAGAUGCCGCCCUCGCCCCGGCCGCCAGCGCAGGCGUCCCCCCUCCUUCACUCCUGGCACCAGUAGCCGCGGGCCGCCGUCGCCCUGCGCCUCCCGCCGGCCUGUGGGGGCCGCUGCCCUCCCGCGCCGCCGGCGCGGCUGCCGCCCCCCCUCCACGCCGGCAGGGGGCGGCCGUGGCCGUGUCGGAGCGUUCCCUUCCAUGGGGUGUCUUGGAGUAAACAAAGGCAGUUGCGUGCAAAGUUGAGCUCCUUAGAACCUCUUUUUCAUGGGCAUCACACAGACUGAGCAUCACAGAGGUGUGAGUCCAAGUGUAGCAAAGAAUUUGGUAAUUAUACCAAAAAACACUGAAAAAUGCAUCAGCUGCAAUAUGAAGAAACUCAGUCACUAAAAGAAAAAGUACCUAGAAGAGAAACACAGUUGAGAAGAUUCUACUAAUAACCGGCAAAUGAAUUAAAAAUUAAAAAGAAAUAGGGAAGAUUGAGCUUUCUGGACUCCUUCAGACUAUUGAUUUAAAUUAUAAACUUUUUGUAGCUUUGAUGAUGGCAAAAAUGUGAUGCUUCAGUGAAAAUUUAUAAAUAUAGUUGUAGUAGUUAAACAUUUCCAUAAAUAUGGUAGAAUAGAGUGCUGAAAGAACAGGUGUUUUAUUGUUUUAUAGUUUUUCAUAUUUAAUAUUUUAAAGAUAGAUUCUUUUUCUGCUCUCCCUAGUUCUAGCAUUGCCCCAGUCACGUGUGUGUGCUUUUCAUGUUUUAUUGAAACAGAUGGCAUAUCUCCUUCCAGGCUUAGGCAAGGGGAGCGUAGGAAAUCUGGUAGGAUUAAAUUAUUUUGAAACAAGAAGACAUCUUUCUCAUAUCCUAUUUCUCAUACACCUGUUAGUCUUUAAAGGAGGCAGUGACAGUAAACACUCAGAAACAGGGAACGUGUUUCGGUGGUGGUGUUCUGAAAACCCUGCACUGUUCAGUUCCUAUGACUACCUGUUUUUCAAAAACAGAGUCUAAAAGUUAGCAGCUAAGCUUGACUAAGCUCAACAGUAAUACUUUUAACAACCAAAAAGGGAGCAGAUUAGGCAUUUGUUCCAGCUCUAUUAGAAAACCUCUCCCCUAAAUCCACCAAAGUCACACAAGGCUCAGUGCUUUUGCAAAUCAGGUCAUUUCUUAAAGCAUAUAAACAUGAGUUCAGAAACCUGAUUUUCAGCUUUUCAUUGUGAAAAUGUUGAACAAGCUUAAUUUCUACAGAAAUACUAGAAAGUCAGGGUUUCUAGAAUUUAAUAUAUGUAUAUGUGCUCUGGAGAAGACUUUGAAUGCUAUGAGUAAAAUGGUGGCCUUUGGUUUCUGUAUAUAUCAUACAUACAUGCAUGAAACAUUAUCCAUCGACCAUGUAGUGCAGGACGUGUGAGUGAAACAUUAGUGGCAUGUCUGGAAGUCCAGAUGAAAAAAUGGCUUGAAACAGUUAAGAGUUCCUGAUUCAAUCAGAGGUUUCAGGUAUGGUUAUGCUGCCAACAACAGUGAGUGUUCAGGCAAGCAUUUAUGCUGUUUGAUGAAUUCCCAUUCGAUCCUGCAGGAAUGUCUGUUCAAAUCCAUGUCUGAGAUACUUACAUUUCUAUCAGAGUAGUGGCAAUGAGUAUUUUUAAUGUUAACAUCUACUUUAACACUUACUAAAGUAAUACAAUAGUUGCAUAAAAUGUACAGGACAUUUAUUUGGGCCUCAGUCCUACUCUACUAGUAGUAAAACAGAUUUCCCAGCAUGAGGAAUUCUCUAUUUCUGUCAGCAUACUUGUACAAAUAGCUUAGAACUUGAUCAUGGAGUAAACCUGGUCAGGCAGGUUGUCCUCUUUCCUCAUGUGAACAUUCACCAUAGAAUUGAGAUCUUCAGAACAUGUUGUGAAAUACAUUUUUAAAAUGUAGUGAUUCUAAAGCUAAAAUUCACAUAUAGAUUUAUGAUAAUGAAAGUUCAAAACGAAGAGUAGUACCUGCAAUUUAACAUAUAGAUCAAUCUCUGACUUAUAGUGAAACUCAGAGUGAAACCUAUCCUGGUACUCAUGAGUGCCCAGCUUCUUCAUGUGACCAGGGAAAGGAUUAAAUGGGUCAGGGGUCUGAUUUAGUAAAACAAAUCCUGUUUUCCCACAGGUUUCUAAGGACCUUGUUGGUGAAUACUGGAUUGUUUUGAGAGGCAGAGCAUCAGAAAUUUGAGCUGGCAUAAUGAAAUGUGUGCAGUUCAGAGCUGUGCAUCUCUACUCCAAGUGACAUGGCUAUAUGUGGCCCAUAGCUAAUCUGUGGUGUUCCGUUAAACAACAAAAUUGGUACUGUUUUUAGUUUCAAGGCUGGCGAGCAAUCCACAAGAAACUUGAAAAGAUUCACUGAUGUUUGUCCUUUGGCUCCAGAACGUGGGGAGUUGGUUUGAAGGACUAAAGUCUUGUGUGUUUUUUUAGGGGCUUGAACAUGCUUGUGUCAGGUUACAUUUCAUAUCAGAAAUGUAAUAACCGCAAUCAAAUAUUUCUCUGGUUUUUCCAUAACCACAUUUUAAAGUUGUGCCAUAGUUUUUCUCAUAAAACAUACUUCAGAUACCAUAUUUUUGUUCGGCUUUCAACCAUUCAGCUUUCAGUGAGCAGCCACUGUUGUCAGAGUGCCAAGACAGUGUCAGUACAAAUUCACAUUUGAGGAGGCAGAAGAUCACAUAGACAUGUUAAGAUUCAUUAUUGAUCAGGACUCUGUCUCCACAAACUCAGGUUAUUAUUUUCACUGGAGUCAGGAGUCAUACUGCCUGGAUGAAGAAGUAACUUGGAUCUUAUCCAGCUAUUGAUAUUUCUAAAGUAAUGAUAUGGCUCUAAAUCUGGCUGCAAUGAUGCAUUGCCUCACCACACAGAUCUUAUUACAUGUGCCUGUCGUUAGUAAUGCUUCUGACUUUGACUUUUGAAUACCUUGAACACAGAGCCAAGUGGUUUUCGUUUUAAUAGGUUCUAUGUGCAAGACAAUCCUUUUACUCUUGUAUAGUGUUGCCAGUGGAUUGCUUACUACUGACAAUCAUGCAAGAAAGUUGCUAGAUGUGCAAAAUGUGCUGCUUGGGGGAAUUGUGCAGUACCAGAAUACUUUUAUGUAAACAGGUAAUCUGCACUGGUUUUCACCGCAAAAGUUCUGAAUUUAAUAUUAAGGUCAAAAUGACAUGUCAUCUUCCUAAAAAAUUCUGAUUUCUCAUAUUCAUAAAUAUCUCUGUAUGACUCACUCAGCAGUAUUAUGGGCUAAUAAAAAUACCUUCUGCAGCAAAGAGUAUUCCAAAGUCACUGGUCCAGAGUUGCUCUUUUCUUUUUUUAUAGCUUGUAUGAGUUGAUGGAAAUGUCACUGAGCUACAAAAUGAGUAAUGAAACCUGGAUUUGGUCUGGUGCUUUGGGCUGCUGAGGAGCAUGCCUCCCUCAGUUCACAGUGUGUGACAGCACCUGUACCACUGUGGGAAUACUUGUGUUGCCACAGAGCUCUGGCAGAGCAGACAGUGCAAAUCCACUCGCACCUCCUGCACUGUGAGGCUGAAAUGCAAACCAAGCAAGGCCAAAGUGAUGUUGUUUGGAGAACAGAGGUGGUCUGAAAGCCAGAGUAUUUUUGCCUUUUUUUACCCACAUGUGCUACCAUCAAUUCAGUGCUCAUGUGACUUCUUAGUCAGCCUAGAUAAUCAGAUGCCAGGUGAUACUCCUUUUACACUGCUGGGCAAUAUUUUAAGUAAAAGUGUGAUGGAUGAACUGUGUAUGUUUCUCCUUUCAGGUGAGAUUCUUCUCACUAAACUUAGAUACUUGCUUUACAGGUGCCUAUUCUAGGUCACAGCCAUUUCAUUUUAGUAUACAUGUCUGUGUAUAGUGUACUGUUGUAUGCUGCAGUAUACAAGUGAACUAUUGUAGAUGUCAGCAUUUACUACUGUAGGUAGUUGAUUUUUUGAAUCCCAUACUCCAAAUUUAUGCAAAAUAUGACUGCCUUUCACUUUAUUUGCUUGCUUGCUUGCUUGCUACUUUACCAUGAGUACUUUCCUUUAUUUUUGAUUCCCAUCAAUCUAUUUGUGAUGAACAAACCUGUCCAAGAGCUUGGUCUUCAAGUUCAUUAGUAAAAAGAGAAGGAUGUGAUUCUAAAACUAAUUCUCUCUUAACACUUCUCAGACUAAACUCACUUUCAGGGAUCUUGUCAAAGCCUGAUUUUGGAAGGAAUUUUUUUGACGUCACAUGAAUUCCAUUUGGGAUACGUGUGAUAAUAGGAAAAAGAAUAAUUAUUAGUAUUACAUUAUUUAAGGGUAUACCCAGGUUUUCUGCUAUAUAUGUGUCUCAAGGUUCUUGUAUAUUUUUCAUUUGUGUAUGUGUUUUGGGGCUAUUGCCUUUUGCUAUUUGCCCAGUGCUCAUGCAUAUUUCAUAAGUCAACUCGCAGAGUCAUCACUGUAAAUAUAGUAAUUUAUUCCUUUUUUAUUUUAUUUGGCAUGAGGAACAGACCUCCAAGCAUAAUUCUAGCUUUAUAUGUCUUCUUAAAUAUAUUCUAUGCAUAGUAUGGAUUCAGUAAACUCUUUGGCCUGGUUGAAAGGA